This 1572-nucleotide long non-coding RNA is filed under the name Anas zonorhyncha (Eastern spot-billed duck). Its description in RNAcentral is "lncRNA (ENSAZOG00000012821.1)". Lineage: Eukaryota; Metazoa; Chordata; Aves; Anseriformes; Anatidae. The record is from RNAcentral.
CCCGGGGGGGGCCCUCGGGCCCCAGGGGCUGCUGAGAGGAAGGGGGGGCCUCAUCCUGCUCCCUCCGGGAGGAGCCGUCCAGCUCCUGGGCGCCCUGGCGGCCCAGCCUGCGCUCCGCCGAGCCGCCUGGGGGGGUUUUGGGGGACAUUUAGGGUCGCCCCCCGAUUUUAGGGUCACCCCCCGGCUUUAGGGGGGGCCCAGCACCUUUGGGUGCCCCCCCUGGGGAGCUCGGCACCCACCUGUGUGCGCUGGGCCCUCCUCGUCCUCCUCACACUCCACUUCCACGGUGUCGGCGGGGGGCGCUCCUGGAGGGGGGGGAGAGGCAAAAAUUGGGGGUUUUGGCCCCAAAAUGUGGCGUUUUGGGGGAUUGUUAGCUCGGAGCGGGGCAUGGUUAGCUCGGAGAGGGACCCCAGUGUCCCAUAUUGGGCCCUUUUUGCCCCAAAAUGGCCCCGUUACCUCAUAACAGAACCCCAUUAUCGCUUAUCACAACCCCAUUGUCCCAUAUUGGGCCCUUUUUACCCCAAAACAGCCCCAUUACCUCAUAUCAGGACCCCGUUACCUCACACCGGCCCCAUUAUCCCAUAGCAGGAUCCCCUUAUCCCAUAUUAGGCCCUUUUUACCCCAAAACGGCCUCAUUACCUCAAAACAGAACCCCAUUACCCCUUAUCACAACCCUGUUGUCCCAUAUUGGGCCCUUUUUACCCCAAAAUGGCCCCAUUACCUCCUAUCAGGCCCCCAUUACCUCACACCAGCCCCGUUAUCUCAUAUCUGGACCCCACUGUCCCAUUUUGGGCCCCUUUUACCCCAAAACAGCCCCCUUACCUCCCCCAACCCCCUCAUUCCCCACCAGGACCCCAUUACCUUUUUUUGGGACCCCAUCACCCCAUUUUGGGACCCUUUUUCCUCAUUUUGGGACCCCAUGACUUCACUUUGAGCCCCCUUUACCCCAAACCCGCCCCGUUACCCUACCCCAGGACCCCCUCACCUCAUUUGGGGACCCCAUCACCACAUUUUGGGACCCUUUUUCCGCAUUUUGGGACCCCCUCACCUGGUUUUAGGACCCCUUUACCUCACUUUAGGGCCCUCUCACCUCAUUUUGGGCCCCUUUUACCUCAUUUCGGGACCCUUUUACCUCGUUUAACCCCCCCCUCACCUCACACCGGGACCCCUUUACCUCAUUUUGGGACUUUUUUUACCUCAUUUGAGGACCCCUCACCCCAAACCAGGACCCCUUUACCUCAUUUUGGGACCCUUUUACCUCAAAAAGGACCCCUCACCUCAUUUUGGGACAUUUUGCUUCAUUUAAAGACCCCUCACCCCAAACCGGGCCACUUUUCCCUCAUUCCGGGGCCCUUUUCCCUCAUUUCGGGACCUUUUUACCUCAUUUCGGGACCCCACACCUCACACCGGGCCACUUUUACCUCAUUUUGGGACCCUUCCACCUCCUUUAACCCCCCUUUACCUCACGCCGGGCCCCUUUUACCUCAUUUUGGGCCCCUUUAUCUCAUUUUGCGACCCUUUCACCUCAUUUUGGGCCCCUUCCACCCCCCCACACCCCGCGUUUCCCCCUUU